Molecule: non-coding RNA, 80 nt
Organism: Solanum lycopersicum (tomato)
Lineage: Eukaryota; Viridiplantae; Streptophyta; Magnoliopsida; Solanales; Solanaceae
Source: Rfam
CUGUAAGAGGCAUGAUGUACUAUUACAAGGCUCUCAAGAUGCUUUCGUUCCUUGAUUCUGCUUCAGAGGUUGAUAUAAGG